CGGUGUGAGUAAAGCGGCGGACGGGUGAGUAACGCGUAGGAAUCUACCUAGUUAGUGGGGGACAACUCGGGGAAACUCGAGCUAAUACCGCAUACGCCCUACGGGGGAAAGCGGGGGACCUUCGGGCCUCGUGCUAUUAGAUGAGCCUGCGUUGGAUUAGCUAGUUGGUGGGGUAAAGGCCUACCAAGGCGACGAUCCAUAGCUGGUCUGAGAGGAUGAUCAGCCACACCGGGACUGAGACACGGCCCGGACUCCUACGGGAGGCAGCAGUGGGGAAUAUUGCGCAAUGGGCGAAAGCCUGACGCAGCCAUGCCGCGUGUGUGAAGAAGGCCUUCGGGUUGUAAAGCACUUUCAAUUGGGAGGAAAGGUUCACGGUUAAUAACCGUGAGCUGUGACGUUACCUUUAGAAGAAGCACCGGCUAACUCCGUGCCAGCAGCCGCGGUAAUACGGAGGGUGCGAGCGUUAAUCGGAAUUACUGGGCGUAAAGCGCGCGUAGGUGGUCUGUUAAGUCGGAUGUGAAAGCCCCGGGCUCAACCUGGGAACUGCAUCCGAUACUGGCAGACUAGAGUGCGGGAGAGGGAGGUAGAAUUCCAUGUGUAGCGGUGAAAUGCGUAGAUAUGUGGAGGAAUACCAGUGGCGAAGGCGGCCUCCUGGCUCGACACUGACACUGAGGUGCGAA
RNAcentral lists this ribosomal RNA (680 nucleotides) under Halieaceae bacterium. RNAcentral's name for it is "bacterial SSU rRNA". It matches the Rfam family "Bacterial small subunit ribosomal RNA", at positions 82 to 757 of the family's 1533-position model. The record is from RNAcentral. Lineage: Bacteria; Pseudomonadati; Pseudomonadota; Gammaproteobacteria; Cellvibrionales; Halieaceae.